Hippopotamus amphibius kiboko is the source of this 127-nucleotide small nucleolar RNA. RefSeq annotates it as small nucleolar RNA SNORA8. NCBI's taxonomy places the organism in Eukaryota, Metazoa, Chordata, Mammalia, Artiodactyla, Hippopotamidae. The record is from RefSeq and is a predicted model, not a curated record. The transcript has a single exon.
UGUCAUUAAAUGCCCCUGGAAAAUAUGAUUUUUGUUCAAAGGACAGUGCAAUAUUAAUUCAGUGUCUGGCAUCAUUGAUUUUCUUGGCUUUGUGCAUGUUAGACCUGAUAUUUCUACUGACACAGUA